UCAGACACAGACUUUGAAGGUGCAAUUUGAAACUCAGGCUUCUGAACCAUCCUCCCUUGUUUAUAGCAUUUUUCAUCAGCGAUACCAUCAUGUUGAACAGGUCCUACAUGAAGGACAGGAUUGAAGAUAAUUUCAUGCUAGUCAUGUAUAGCCUGAUUAGUUGAAUUAUGGAUAUCUUGAGAAAAUUUAACAGUCUCUGAUCCAUGUGGAAUGGAGACAAAUUCCAAUUUAUUAGCUUGACUAGGUGUACUGACCAAUUGUUUAUUUUUUUUCAAACUGCAUGAAAUCAUCUUUGAUAGUUUCAUUACUUUGGCAUGGUGGUUUUGUAGAUAAUAAAAACUUCUCAGAAUGUGAGACCAACUCUCCCUCAAUUAUGUUAUCAGCUCUUUCAGCAAUGGAUUCUUGAGCUGCAAGCAAGCACGCCUGAUUUAUUAAAUAUUGAGAGCCAGGGGAAUCAUCAGAUUUAGAUAAUCAGUUCAGGAACUCUAACUGCUCCCUGGGAUGACUUGCAGAUUGGUAACCUCGGAAAGGCUGUGAAGGUGGAUUAUUGAAACCUACAUCAAAUGCAUCAGCUUCAUCAGCAAUGUUACUAGGUUCCAAACCGCCACGACAAUAGUAGUCAUCUUCAUUUAGGAAGUGUUAAAUUCUCUUUUUCAGAAACGACAUGCAUACUUACUGCAUGGAUAUGACUCAAAAAGGAAACAUCAUGCUGCUGCAUGGUUGAACUAGGUUCAUGAAUGUGGGAGCUGAUAUGCUCAUCCUCCAUUUUUUUAUAUGAGAAACUAUCAGCUACUAAAUUCUUAAAAGUGAAGCUAGAUAGAAGAUAUAGCUAGAUUGAAUUUUUAUUUUCUUUGAAUUUUUAUAUAUGACUUGCAUGUCUUUCAGGGCUGGAUAGAAGAUAUAGCUAGAAUGAGUUGGUAGGGACAUACUACAUAGCCAAUAAAUUCUUAAAGAAUUGAAUUUAUCAGAGUGUGAUGUGAGGAUGGUGUAAGGAGUAUAGAAGAGAAUGCAAAGAAAGUAUAUAUGAUCAUUGUAAAUUAAUCUAGUUUCAUUGGUCAUGGAAAUAGAAUCCCUACUCAGUGAGUAUGAUGCAUACAUGUAGACCUUGAAUGAAACACCAAAAAUGAUAUAUGUGCUAAUCUUUUCCCUUGCAUGUAAAUCAAAGUAGAGAGGUAAUUAAAUGAUGGUGCUUCACUCUAGAUCUGACUGUGGGUCUCCAAUUUGCAUGUAGUAUAAUAACAUGUUACAAAACCUGAACUCGACUCCAUUAUAACAUGCAUCCUAAUAAUUUGUAGUAUGGAAGAGGUAUAUGGUCAUCAAAGAGGUCUCAUAACAGCUUCGAGAAGAAUGGGAAGCAUUAGCUAAUUGCUAUGAAGAUCACAUGAGCAGUGCAUGGAUAUCAAAUAAUUUAUUAAGGAUUCUCGUGAAGAAGGAUUAUAGAAGUUAUCUCUAAAUUACGAGGAGUUAUUCUUUAGACUUUCUUUUGUGUAACUUUCAUGGGAAUAGUUGUUUUUUUAUUGGAUGAAUGUUGGAUGCA
Zingiber officinale is the source of this 1537-nucleotide long non-coding RNA. RefSeq lists it as uncharacterized. The transcript is spliced from 3 exons. NCBI's taxonomy places the organism in Eukaryota, Viridiplantae, Streptophyta, Magnoliopsida, Zingiberales, Zingiberaceae. The record is from RefSeq and is a predicted model, not a curated record.